GGCCCAGACUCCAUCCACCAACCGUAUGGUUUGCAACUAUGCAUCUGUAUUGGAAUCAACGAUAGGCGAUGGGGCCUGUCAUUCCGGUUCUGAUGUUGCCGUGGUGGAUGGAAGGGGAAUUUUGUUUUGUUUUCCUUGUCCCCAUCUCCUAUAUUCCUAUUGAUUUAAUCUGGAUUUCGAAAUCACAUUGUCUGAUUCAUUAUGCCCAGCAUUAAAUGGUUACUCUCGUCGUGAUUGGAUGCCCAGCUGAUCGCGUCCAGGUCCACCACGUGCGUUGACCAUGUGCGUGUAUGUGAUUGGUGGCCUGCAUGGGCCGAGCACAGCCUGCAUGCGCGGGCGCAGCUUAGUUAUUUUCUUACAUCUCGGUCUACACGCGCAGAGAUGUGGGAGAGAGGCUUCGCUGGUCACCCAACCUCGUGCCGGCCUGGCUCCCACGGAUACAACAUCCAAUCACGUUGUCUAUGUCUGUGUUCAUACGGAUGUGAAGAGAAAUCAUUGGAAAGACGGCUGGCGCACUGGACUAUUGCUGCAGACUCUGACACUCUGUGAGACCGAGACGACGAACCUCGGUGGGAACGCGUCCGCAGUAGAUCAAUGUGAUGCUGCAGCCUGGCAGCACACGCGCUUCCCCUUCCAGCAAUAAAAGAACUGGAUGAACGACCUAUG
Molecule: long non-coding RNA, 666 nt
Filed under: Zea mays
Lineage: Eukaryota; Viridiplantae; Streptophyta; Magnoliopsida; Poales; Poaceae
Description: long non-coding RNA (ZMAY_LNC004948)
Source: RNAcentral